GCUGGGCGGAUUAGUGGCGAACGGGUGAGUAACACGUGAGUAACCUGCCCUUGACUCUGGGAUAAGCCCGGGAAACUGGGUCUAAUACCGGAUAGGAGCGCCUGUCGCAUGACGGGUGCUGGAAAGAUUUUUCGGUCAUGGAUGGACUCGCGGCCUAUCAGCUUGUUGGUGAGGUAAUGGCUCACCAAGGCGACGACGGGUAGCCGGCCUGAGAGGGUGACCGGCCACACUGGGACUGAGACACGGCCCAGACUCCUACGGGAGGCAGCAGUGGGGAAUAUUGCACAAUGGGCGGAAGCCUGAUGCAGCGACGCCGCGUGAGGGAUGACGGCCUUCGGGUUGUAAACCUCUUUCAGUAGGGAAGAAGCGAAAGUGACGGUACCUGCAGAAGAAGCACCGGCUAACUACGUGCCAGCAGCCGCGGUAAUACGUAGGGUGCGAGCGUUAUCCGGAAUUAUUGGGCGUAAAGAGCUCGUAGGCGGUUUGUCGCGUCUGUCGUGAAAGUCCGGGGCUUAACCCCGGAUCUGCGGUGGGUACGGGCAGACUAGAGUGCAGUAGGGGAGACUGGAAUUCCUGGUGUAGCGGUGGAAUGCGCAGAUA
RNAcentral lists this ribosomal RNA (600 nucleotides) under Micrococcus antarcticus. RNAcentral's name for it is "bacterial SSU rRNA". It matches the Rfam family "Bacterial small subunit ribosomal RNA", at positions 82 to 696 of the family's 1533-position model. Lineage: Bacteria; Bacillati; Actinomycetota; Actinomycetes; Micrococcales; Micrococcaceae. The record is from RNAcentral.